Molecule: non-coding RNA, 107 nt
Organism: Capsicum annuum
Lineage: Eukaryota; Viridiplantae; Streptophyta; Magnoliopsida; Solanales; Solanaceae
Source: Rfam
UGCUGAUGAUGUGGAAAAUCCCAAUGAAGAUCUUUGAACCUCUCCCAUGAAUGAUAUAAAUUCUCAUCUAGCUAUUGUUUAAAGCUCACAAUCUCACUACACAAUCU